RNAcentral lists this ribosomal RNA (484 nucleotides) under uncultured bacterium. Its description in RNAcentral is "partial 16S ribosomal RNA". It matches the Rfam family "Bacterial small subunit ribosomal RNA", at positions 30 to 507 of the family's 1533-position model. The record is from RNAcentral.
AUUGAACGCUGGCGGCAGGCCUAACACAUGCAAGUCGAGCGGAUGAAGGGAGCUUGCUCCUGGAUUCAGCGGCGGACGGGUGAGUGAUGCCUAGGAAUCUGCCUGGUAGUGGGGGAUAACGUCCGGAAACGGGCGCUAAUACCGCAUACGUCCUGAGGGAGAAAGUGGGGGAUCUUCGGACCUCACGCUAUCAGAUGAGCCUAGGUCGGAUUAGCUAGUUGGUGGGGUAAAGGCCUACCAAGGCGACGAUCCGUAACUGGUCUGGGAGGAUGAUCAGUCACACUGGAACUGAGACACGGUCCAGACUCCUACGGGAGGCAGCAGUGGGGAAUAUUGGACAAUGGGCGAAAGCCUGAUCCAGCCAUGCCGCGUGUGUGAAGAAGGUCUUCGGAUUGUAAAGCACUUUAAGUUGGGAGGAAGGGCAGUAAGUUAAUACCUUGCUGUUUUGACGUUACCAACAGAAUAAGCACCGGCUAACUUCGUG